Gossypium hirsutum (cotton) is the source of this 119-nucleotide non-coding RNA. The record is from Rfam. Lineage: Eukaryota; Viridiplantae; Streptophyta; Magnoliopsida; Malvales; Malvaceae.
UAUUAAAAUUUUUAUCUAUUUUUACUAUUAAAAACUGAUGUUGUUGACAUACCACAUGUUUCUCAUGUAAAUGUACAAGGAUCAAUUUUUAAUAGUAGAAAUGAAUGGAAGUUUUAACA